GUAGGGGGCAAGCGUUGUCCGGAUUUAUUGGGCGUAAAGAGCGUGUAGGCGGCUUCACAGGUCCGCUGUGAAAACUCGAGGCUCAACCUCGAGCUGUCGGUGGAAACCGUGUGGCUAGAGUCCGGAAGAGGAGAGUGGAAUUCCCGGUGUAGCGGUGAAAUGCGCAGAUAUCGGGAAGAACACCCGUGGCUAAGGCGGCUCUCUAGUACGGUACUGACGCUGAGACGCGAAAGCGUGGGGAGCGAACAGGAUUAGAUACCCUGGUAGUCCACGCUGUAAACGAUGGGUGCUAGGUGUGGGAGGUGUCGACUCCUCCCGUGCCGAAGCUAACGCAUUAAGCACCCCGCCUGGGGAGUACGGCCGCAAGGCUA
RNAcentral lists this ribosomal RNA (371 nucleotides) under uncultured bacterium. RNAcentral describes it as "bacterial SSU rRNA". It matches the Rfam family "Bacterial small subunit ribosomal RNA", at positions 527 to 896 of the family's 1533-position model. The record is from RNAcentral.